UUAAUUGAAACCAAGCCAGAGGUAUAUCACUGUUAAUGAUAUUAUUGGAAAUAAAAUCCCAAUUAAA
Molecule: transfer RNA, 67 nt
Filed under: Coomaniella copipes
Lineage: Eukaryota; Metazoa; Arthropoda; Insecta; Coleoptera; Buprestidae
Description: tRNA-Asn
Source: RNAcentral